Molecule: long non-coding RNA, 540 nt
Filed under: Equus caballus (horse)
Lineage: Eukaryota; Metazoa; Chordata; Mammalia; Perissodactyla; Equidae
Description: lncRNA (ENSECAG00000045891.1)
Source: RNAcentral
GGGGUACAAGGAAGAACAGACCUAUGUGCAUUUUGUAGGAAGAAAAAUGUGAAUGGAAAAGGGAGAAAAGGAGAGAAACGGGGGGAAAAUCUGGAUAAUACAUUAAAGUAACCAUAAUUUUGGAGAUGCAUUCGUCUUAUUGAAACUCUGUGUGUAACCAGUGAUACCGGAGUCGGAUAUUUGCUCAAUCAGGAUGCUCAACAAUUUGAGCCUUUACUUUAAAGUUUGGAGCUGCAUAGAUUUCCUCGGGGCAGUGAUUCUUUUUCACCCCUUUGAAUUCAGAAGGAUGGCACAGACAUCUAAAAAACACUUUUUGCCAUAAGAGAUGCUGAAGGCUCAUCUUAAGCACUUCCUGCUCCACUUUGGAAUCAGCCAUUUUUCCAGCAAAGAUGGCCCACGGGCAGCUCAAGCCAAAGUCAUCUUUACAGAUCAAGAUCAUCCAAGAAGAAAGACCCCCUGGUUCCCUCCCAGUAUCCAUAACUACCCACCCAAAAGGAAUCUGAUUGGCUUGUUUGGAUCACAUGUUCUCCUUUGAACCAA